Molecule: long non-coding RNA, 1289 nt
Organism: Nicotiana attenuata
Lineage: Eukaryota; Viridiplantae; Streptophyta; Magnoliopsida; Solanales; Solanaceae
Exons: 5
Source: RefSeq, a predicted model, not a curated record
UAGGAUAGCAUAAUAUUAGUCGCACAUAUUACAAACACAUAUCCUAACAUAUUUGGUUAUUUUUUCGGUUCGGGAGACAUAAUUUUUGCGGAUGUUGAUUAUGUGUAAUUUUUCUUUUUCAAUUGGUGAGGUUUAACGACAAUCUUAUUUUUGUGGUAGUAUCCUAACAUAUUUGAUCAUUUUUUAGGUUCAUGGGACAUAUUUACGCCUAAAAUCUUGGCAGAUGAUGGUCAUGUGUAAUCUUUCUUUUUCAAUUGGUUAUGUUUAAUGACAAUCUCACCUUUGUAAAUACUGUGCAUGGGGUAUUUAUAUUGAAUAGUGUACUUUGCAAAUUUAUUCAUAUAUUUGUUACAAAGACAAAUUAGGAGAACAAAAAAUAAGUUUAUCUUAAUGAUGGAGGAAACAUAAGUUAGAGAGAGAAAAGAAGAAUAGAAGAAAAGAAGGAAAGAGAAACAAAAGGGAAAAAAGGAAAGAUAAAUUCGGACAUCUCUUUCUUCUUUGUACGGGAUGUGUCAAAAAUUUUGAAUUUUGUCUUCUCCUUUUUCAUAUUUUUAAUUUCCUCCCUUUUCCUUAUUUUUUUUUUGAUUUAUCAUAAACACAAGAAAUUUUGAAAAAAAUACCAAAGAGGUGUAGCGGGUGUGUGUAUAUAUUCUAUUCUAUUCCUAUUCCUAUUUCUAUUUGUAUUUCUAUUUCUACUUAUAUAGAAGAGCGAAGAAGCAGCUCUCCGUCGACAUCCCUGCUUGCCGACGGAGGGCAAUUGGGUAUUUGCACUGUCCUAUAUUAGGUAAAAUUCCUGUUGUAUUCCGCACUAACUGAUUUCUGUUAUUCAGGGAAAGACUACUUAGUUUCACAUUUGCUCACUAAGAUGAAAGAUUUUGUUUUAUCUCAAGUUUAUCGAUUUUGCUGCUACUUUCGACAUCAUCGGUCAAUUGAAGCUCUCUGCGUAAGAAACCUGGGUCACUGACUUGAACGCACGUUCACCGAAAAGAAACCGAAAGACUUGAAAUUGAUGUUUGAUUCGCCAGCUGCACAAAUUCUCCUUCUAUUUUCAGAACAAGAGUUUCUUUUGGCAACCGAUUUACCCGAAUACUUUUGGUUGGAAUAAAGGAGAGUGGACAUCAACUGGGAUUAAUAAGUUGAAAAGAUUUGGUACAUUAUACCUUUUCUAGAUGCUCUCCAGAUGAGUGCAAAUACGUGCAGUUUUUGAAUUUUCAUGGUUAAGCUGUUGGCACUGUAAAGUGAAUUACGGAAUGCAAAUGUGAAUUAACUAUGUUGGAGUUUUUUUUCUC